AUAUUACUGCGUUAGGGAUAGCAAUGGAAAUCCCGGAUUUUUACAUUUCAGUAAAAAACGGAAUUGGAAUGAAUAGCCCGCUCGAAC
This 87-nucleotide unclassified non-coding RNA is filed under the name Ulvibacter litoralis. Its description in RNAcentral is "Flavo-1 RNA". Lineage: Bacteria; Pseudomonadati; Bacteroidota; Flavobacteriia; Flavobacteriales; Flavobacteriaceae. The record is from RNAcentral.